This is a long non-coding RNA of Eutrema salsugineum, 613 nucleotides long. RefSeq lists it as uncharacterized. The transcript has 3 exons. NCBI's taxonomy places the organism in Eukaryota, Viridiplantae, Streptophyta, Magnoliopsida, Brassicales, Brassicaceae. The record is from RefSeq and is a predicted model, not a curated record.
AUGGAGGCAGAUCAUAUGUUGAGCCGCCAAACAAGACUCUUGCAGUAGAACUAGCGUUGUAGUUUGAGAGAAAAGCAGCGCAAGAUGACUUGGACUUGAACACAUGAGCCUGAAAAAAAAACAGAACAAGCCAACAAAAAGCAUCAGCAGAGACCAAUGCUGGCUCACAGAGCUUGAUGACCUUAUGCAAUCUCUUCAAGUGACUAUACUUUGGUUCUCUCGGUGAUAGGAGUUAAAAUUACCGUAUUCAUCAAGCGGAGCGUCGUAGUCAUAGCUAGUAGCAAUGAAUUCACCUGCUGUUCUGUCGAAGUUUGUUCCUCCAUGGUACUGUUUAACAACAUUUGCUCACUCUCAUUAUGUUUCUAAUAAUCAAAUUUAUUGUUUCUUAUUUCAACAAUAGAGAAAUAUGAAGUUACCAUAUAGUAAUUGAUGAAGGAGCCACCGUUAUGUAUGAAGCGAGCCACAGAGAAGGCAAUGUCUUCGGCUGGUCUGUAUGGUACCGCACCUCCAAACUCGGUGAACCUGGUUUAUUAUUUGCACAUUCACUUACAGUUGUAUAUUUUUAAUUUUAAAAAGGUAUAAAAAUUGAUUUUCGGUUUAGAUAUUUAUAAAA